RNAcentral lists this ribosomal RNA (255 nucleotides) under uncultured bacterium. RNAcentral describes it as "partial 16S ribosomal RNA". It matches the Rfam family "Bacterial small subunit ribosomal RNA", at positions 524 to 776 of the family's 1533-position model. The record is from RNAcentral.
GACAUAGGUUGCGAACGUUAUCCGGAAUUAUUGGGCGUAAAGGAUGCGUAGAUGGCGUGAUAAGUUAUCAGUGGCAAAUCGGGGCUCAACCUCGUGGAAGCUGGUAAUACUGUCAUGCUUGAGUACAGGAGAGGUUAACGGAACUCCAUGUGGAGCGGUAAAAUGUGACGAUAUAUGGAAGAACACCGAUAAGGCGAAGGCAGUUAACUAUUCUGUUACUGACAUUGAGGCAUGAAAGCGUGGGGAGCAAAACGG